RNAcentral lists this non-coding RNA (83 nucleotides) under Schistosoma japonicum. Lineage: Eukaryota; Metazoa; Platyhelminthes; Trematoda; Strigeidida; Schistosomatidae. The record is from RNAcentral.
UUUCACCAUCAAGUUCAAUUGGGUCGGUGCUUUCUGUGUUGAAUUUGUGGAUCUUGCACUUGCCCAUUGAUGCUGAGGUUGCU